AUUGAACGCUGGCGGCAGGCCUAACACAUGCAAGUCGAACGAGUGGCGGACGGGUGAGUAAUGUCUGGGAACCUGCCUGAUGGAGGGGGAUAACUACUGGAAACGGUAGCUAAUACCGCAUACCAUCAGAUGUGCCCAAAUGGGAUUAGAUUGUAGGUGGGGUAAAGGCACACCAAGGCGACGAUCCCUAGCUGGUCUGAGAGGAUGACCAGCCAAAAUGGAACGGAGACACGGUACAGACUCCUACGGGAGGCAGCAGUGGGGAAUAUUGCACAAUGGGCGCAAGCCUGAUGCAGCCAUGCCGCGUGUAUGAAGAAGGCCUUCGGGUUGUAAAGUACUUUCAGCGGGGAGGCGUUACCCGCAGAAGAAGCACCGGCUAACUCCGUGCCAGCAGCCGCGGUAAUUC
This 406-nucleotide ribosomal RNA is filed under the name uncultured bacterium. RNAcentral's name for it is "partial 16S ribosomal RNA". It matches the Rfam family "Bacterial small subunit ribosomal RNA", at positions 30 to 526 of the family's 1533-position model. The record is from RNAcentral.